AGACCCGAAACCCGGUGAUCUAGCCAUGGGCAGGUUGAAGGUUGGGUAACACUAACUGGAGGACCGAACCGACUAAUGUUGAAAAAUUAGCGGAUGACCUGUGGCUGGGGGUGAAAGGCCAAUCAAACCGGGAGAUAGCUGGUUCUCCCCGAAAGCUAUUUAGGUAGCGCCUCGUGAAUUCAUCUCCGGGGGUAGAGCACUGUUUCGGCUAGGGGGCCAUCCCGGCUUACCAACCCGAUGCAAACUGCGAAUACCGGAGAAUGUUAUCACGGGAGACACACGGCGGGUGCUAACGUCCGUCGUGAAGAGGGAAACAACCCAGACCGCCAGCUAAGGUCCCAAAGUCAUGGUUAAGUGGGAAACGAUGUGGGAAGGCCCAGACAGCCAGGAUGUUGGCUUAGAAGCAGCCAUCAUUUAAAGAAAGCGUAAUAGCUCACUGGUCGAGUCGGCCUGCGCGGAAGAUGUAACGGGGCUAAACCAUGCACCGAAGCUGCGGCAGCGAACGUAUCACCCAAGACAACUUUACGGAGUUGACGAUUGACGGAGCGAAGCGACGUCAAAGCGUUCAUUAAAGUCGAGUUGGCUUAGGGAUACGUUCGUU
This 601-nucleotide ribosomal RNA is filed under the name Salmonella enterica. RNAcentral describes it as "partial 23S ribosomal RNA". It matches the Rfam family "Bacterial large subunit ribosomal RNA", at positions 711 to 1244 of the family's 2925-position model. Lineage: Bacteria; Pseudomonadati; Pseudomonadota; Gammaproteobacteria; Enterobacterales; Enterobacteriaceae. The record is from RNAcentral. RNAcentral also lists the same sequence under 4 other names.